Molecule: ribosomal RNA, 612 nt
Filed under: Vishniacozyma victoriae
Lineage: Eukaryota; Fungi; Basidiomycota; Tremellomycetes; Tremellales; Bulleribasidiaceae
Description: eukaryotic LSU rRNA
Rfam family: Eukaryotic large subunit ribosomal RNA
Source: RNAcentral
CACCUUAGGGAUUCCCUUAGUACGGCGAGUGACCGGGAUGAGCUCAAAUUUAAAAUCUGGCGUCUUUCAGGCGUCCGAGUUGUAAUCUAUAGAGGCGUUUUCCGCGCCGGACCGCGUCCAAGUCUCUUGGAAUAGAGUAUCAAAGAGGGUGACAAUCCCGUACUUGACGCGACAACCGGUGCUCUGUGAUACGUUCUCAAUGAGUCGAGUUGUUUGGGAAUGCAGCUCUAAAUGGGUGGUAAAUUCCAUCUAAGGCUAAAUAUUGGCGAGAGACCGAUAGCGAACAAGUACCGUGAGGGAAAGAUGAAAAGCACUUUGGAAAGAGAGUUAAACAGCACGUGAAAUUGUUAAAAGGGAAACGAUUGAAGUCAGUCGUGUGAAAGGUAUUCAGCCGUCUCUGGCGGUGUAUUUGCCUUUCACGGGUCAACAUCAGUUUGAUCCGGUAGAAAAAGGCGGGAGGAAGGUGGCACCCUCGGGUGUGUUAUAGCCUCCUGUCAUAUGUGCCGGACCAGACUGAGGAACGCAGCUUGCCGCAAGGCCGGGGUUCGCCCACGUACAAGCUUAGGAUGUUGACAUAAUGGCUUUAAACGACCCGUCUUGAAACACGGACCA